This 386-nucleotide ribosomal RNA is filed under the name uncultured bacterium. RNAcentral's name for it is "bacterial SSU rRNA". It matches the Rfam family "Bacterial small subunit ribosomal RNA", at positions 28 to 403 of the family's 1533-position model. The record is from RNAcentral.
GAUGAACGCUGGCGGCGUGCAUAACACAUUCAAGUCGAACGAAGCAUAAAGAAGAGCUUGCUCUGAAGUAUGACUUAGUGGCGGACGGGUGAGUAACGCGUGAGCAACCUGCCUUUCAUUACGGGAUAACGGUCGGAAACAGCCGCUAAUACCGUAUAAUGUAUACCGAUUGCAUGGUUGGUAUACCAAAGAUUUAUUGAUGAAAGAUGGGCUCGCGUCUGAUUAGACUAGUUGGUGAGGUAACGGCUCACCAAGUCGACGAUCGGUAGCCGGACUGAGAGGUUGAACGGCCACAUUGGAACUGAGAUACGGUCCAGACUCCUACGGGAGGCAGCAGUGGGGAAUAUUGGGCAAUGGGCGAAAGCCUGACCCAGCGACGCCGCGUG